UUCUUUCGUUUGUUCUUGCUUUUGCUCUCUAUCUUUAUUCCUUUCUCUCUCUCUCUCGUUUCUGUUAUACAGGAAUAGACUCAGUUCACUUAGUUUUACAAAUGCAAAAUAUAAUAGAAAGUCUGUGCUAUUGAAGAGUAUUGUAUUCAAAGGGUUACUGAGCUGACAAUGUCCCCUGACUAACUAUAAAAUGUAAUCAGCAAUAGCACAGGCUCCUGGAACCAGGCUGUCAGGACCAGCAUCGAGGCAGCUGUGUACAGGGAUCAGCAUCUGACAGGUCCAAGUUCGAAUCUCACCUGUGCCACUUACUACCAUAGGACAAAGUUCACAGGACAAAGUUCUUAACAUCUCAGAGCCUGUUUCCUCAUACAUAAAAUGGAAAUAAAAAUACUCGACUUAAUAGCACUGCUGCAGUGUUUAAGUAAGAUAGGGUAAUGUGUCCAGCAUGAUAUCCAGAUAUGAAUGUUACUGAAUCAGCUAAGUCUACAUUUGGCUCUGAGUGUCAGAAAACCUAAUAAGCUCUUCUAAAUUAGGGACUGUAUGUGUCUCAUGCAACAAGAAAUCUGAUGAUGGGCUUGCCAGAGCUCAAGCUCAUUUUAUCUUCCUGCUCCAGUAUCCCCAGUUCGGCUUUUGUUGCUGUGAUUGCAAGAAGGGGUGGGUGGGGGAGGGGUGUGACUUCCUGAUAGAAUGAUGGGAUAAGAACAAAGAAAAACAUUCUAAGAGGAAUCUCCUCUUGAAAGUCUCUCCCCAGGGACCAUGACUGAGAGCUCAUUGGCUGUAGCUGGGUCACAUGGCCACAGAAAAAAGAGUCUGGGAAGAUGAGAAUAUUUUUUAGCUGGGCACUUUGCUGUCCUUACAACAGCAAGAUUUUGUUAGGAACGAAGAGGGUAGUGAUAAGCUCCUCACCUCCUGCCUGCCUAAGCUCCAGUUGCAAGGAAGGGAGAUAGAGUGAGAAGAAUAAAAAUAAAGAAGUUGCUCAUCUCUUCAUUUUGCAUGAGGACCUUGAAGUUUGCACAGCAUGGUGACGGUGACACCAAAUGAAAAGAGGACUGAGAACAGACUGUAAGCAAUUCAGCCUGCCAAAAAUUCAGAUUGCUAAAUAAGGGAUACCAAUCAGAUGUUUUCUAUCUUCCCUGGAGAAACUAAGGAACUUCAAGUUUAAAAUGCCUCAUGAAGAAUUGGGAUAAAAUAUAAAGAAUUUCCUGAAGAAAGGGAGGAAGAUGAUUGUGUACUGAAUGAUUGCAAUAGAACAUCUGAAAAUGUAAAAUGAAAAGGAUAACUGAACUUUUCUAUGAAGAGCUUGAUUAUGGCCAUACAUUGAAUUAAUGAGCAUUCAGUGAGUCCACAGUUCUUUGUUGAGGGUCUCCUGCAUGCCAUACACUGUGCUACGUCCUGGGGCUCCAUAAAUUCUUUGUUAACAAAAUAAAAAUACCCCCAUACAGAGAAGCACUUUCAGAUACAUUACCUCAUCUCUAACAGAACACACAGUCAACAGAACCAUGCGGAGGCUGAUCAAUAUUCUAAACAAUAGUUUCAUAAAUACUGUCCCUAGACUCGUCUACUCACUGGGAGCUGCAGGGGUUGGUAUUCUAGCUAGCAAAUGAAACAAUCUGCAUACAUGCUUAAAUCAAGUUUGUUUAAAAUUAGAAAAUGGCAUAAUGUAUUCAAAAGUUUUUAUGCAGUAUUUGCAUGGAAUUUAAAAUAUGCUACAUGCUUUGAAUUAGGAGAGCAGAGCGAUGUGUAGCUCAUCUAUUGGUCUGAUCGAAUGUUUAAAAAUCAAAUUUUAGAGAGCUCUGUACUUAAAUAACUGUAAAAGAAAAUAAAAUCAGAAUGCAUA
This 1837-nucleotide long non-coding RNA is filed under the name Homo sapiens (human). RNAcentral's name for it is "HSALNT0299354". Lineage: Eukaryota; Metazoa; Chordata; Mammalia; Primates; Hominidae. The record is from RNAcentral.